Molecule: non-coding RNA, 1649 nt
Organism: Phalacrocorax carbo (great cormorant)
Lineage: Eukaryota; Metazoa; Chordata; Aves; Suliformes; Phalacrocoracidae
Source: RefSeq, a predicted model, not a curated record
GAAAUUACUUUAUGGAAGCUUCAUUUUCUGAUAUUAAAUAACGUGGUUUUGAGAGCUUCUGUCAGAAGGAUGUCUUGUUCCCUGGGUAGGAGGUGUCUGAGGCUGAUUUACUCAAACGUUCUCACCAGCAGUCCUGCAGGAGGGCUUCUCCCUUUGGAACUGGGCUGCUCGAAAUGGUGAAAAGGAAGUUCUGUAUCUAGGCAUCCUCCAUGUCUCAGGUGAAACGUUUCAGUGGUUUUCUUGCUGUGUCCCAUGUGCCUAGCAUCUGAGCAAGAGGAGGAUACGCGAAUUGUACCAUGGAACACGGAACUGGGUGUGUGGCUUUGUUUUCUGGGCAAAGAUCUGUGGUUUGGCCGUACGUGAGAUGAGUUGCAAUGCUCGUGUGCAAAAGCACUCAAGAUCUGAAGGAGGAAAGAAUCAUAAAGAAGCGCGCCCCAUUGACUCCAGCAACGCCUUUCACUGGGAAUUUCUUGCUCGGGAGGUCCAGCUGCAGCCAGGUGUCGGAUCACACCAUCAAAUACAUCAUUCAUCUGACUGGCUAAAUGCCGUGAUACAUAGGCAUUUCAGACUUCUAUUGACUGAGCAUUACGGUACCGUGAACCAUGUCUAAGGAGCAAUCGGCUGAGUCCUGACCAAGGCCUGUCUUCCUUGUGGUGGGGGAGUUACUUGCCUUCCAACAAAGCAUUCAAAUGAGAUGCUAGUAAAACUUGUGAUGACAGGGGCGUUUCUUUGAAUUAUGUGUUCUGCUCUUUGUCCGUUUUACUGUUGCUCUUAAUUUUGGCAUCCCUGGUUGAUCGUAAUUGGUGGAUGCAAGGCAGGAGGCUGUUGGCUGUAUCACGUUAAGUGAAGCAAUCCCAGUAGAGAUCAGGGGAGUUCUGCUAACGAUCUGGGACUUCUCUACACAUAAAGUUGCAAUGCUUUUCACUAGUCUUGAGGAUGCAGCAGUGCACAUGUAACAGGUAAUGGCCGGUAGCGAUGCAAAUAGAGGAUGGCCGGGGAAUACAGUCCAUUCUGUAACUCCACCCAAAGUAUGAUUUUCCAAGAGAUUGUUACGCCCCAGUGACAGAUGUGGAUGUUCUUUCUGCACUCCCUGCUGGAGCAGCUUGUGAAGCAUAAGAACAGAUGCAAGUGAUAGGAACCAAACAAAAAGACCAGAAUUUUCACCAGAAUGCUUCCACUGUGAGGUUACCCUAAGUGGUGAACAGACUUGCUCAGUCUCUGCAGAAGAGAUUAAUUUUGCCCCAGUGAAAAGAACUGUGGCAGGUGUGUCUCGCCCAGACACUGCUCUGGUUAUCUCAUGAGGAAAUCUAUUUUUACCUGUAUAAAUCUACUGUUUUUCCUUAAUGCAUGUUAAAUUGUUUUGCCACCUUGAUUUCCCUAGGUAAGUUAGAUGAUAUAAAGAAGCCAUUUUAUUUCACACCAAAGUAGGCUGCCUUUCAGCUUCAGUAUAGUCAGUUUAGCCGUAGGUGUGCAUUGGAAGGACCUUUCCUACUGGAUUGUAACAUCAGAGACAUAGCAGAUUUCAUGCUAAAGCACCCCAGGUUAUCUUGGAACUGAAGUUUUUCUGAUGGAAGGCAUAAGGAAUGUGCAGUAAGAAGACAUAAAAUUUCAAUUAGAUUUCCGUUCCUGACUAUUUCCCAGAGGCUAGA